Molecule: long non-coding RNA, 10271 nt
Organism: Neofelis nebulosa (Clouded leopard)
Lineage: Eukaryota; Metazoa; Chordata; Mammalia; Carnivora; Felidae
Exons: 2
Source: RefSeq, a predicted model, not a curated record
AUUCUUUGCCUGUGCUGUGCUAAAGAGUCAAUGGCCAGGGCCCGGUGUUCAAUGGGGGCAUUAAACCAUCAUUAUCUGUGUUCUUUAGUUACUUUGUAUGAAGCAGGAGACUUGUUCUGGGCCCUUUAACUGGGAAGAAAGGACCCUAGUUAAUAAAAAAUAGCCUGCAUGCAGGGCAGCGUAUUGUAGAACCUUAGAACCUCAGAAUUAGAAGUAAUCUUGGAGGCCAUAUGAUGCAACUUCUUACUUACGUUGUAUAUGAAUCCUUUUUUGAGCAUCUCUGAUAAAUGGUGUCUAGUCAUCCCUCCUUUCUGCUGGGGGGAUAAGAUGGACAUAAGCUAGGGGAUGGUACACGGUGGAUCCAGGAAUAACAGAAGUCUGAUAGUUAAUAUUUAUUGAACAGGUAUUACAUGUUAGGUGCAGAAAUAGAUACUCUACAUAUUUAUUUAAUUUUCACAAUAACCCGUGGAAAAGUAUGCUGGCAUCCUUUUGUAGAUGGAAAACUAGGCUUAGAGAGGGUACCACAGUGAUGAAGUUUUAACCACACUUAAGUCUUACUUCGAAUCCCUCCUUAUCUGCUUUGCAGUGCUGUCUCUGGGCCACGUUCCCCAUAAGGGACAGAAGAUGUUGGUGAGCUUUGUGACUGAUGGGAGGGGGUUUGUGUGGACCGGGACUGGGGCAGGCUGAGUAGGAUAGCUGUGCCCUCUAAGGGAGCACUUUGGAAGCGAGUGUGUGGGGUGCUUUUGUUUUCUAGUACGAUCUUGUCUGAAAAUCCAUAUUUAAAAAAAAAUGUUUUUAAAUGUUUAUUUUUGAGAGAGAUAGAGACAGAGUGCGAGCGAGGGAGGGGCAGAGAGAGAGGGAGAUACAGAAUCUGAAGCAGGCUCCAGGUUCCGAGCUGUCAGCACAGAGCCUGACACAGGGCUCGAACUCAUGAACCGUGAGAUCAUGACCGGAGCCGAAGUCAGAUGCUCAAUCAGCUGAACCACCCAGGCACCCCUACAUAUUUUUUUAUACAGGUCUUGUUUAUUUUCUCUCACCUUGCAGUUAGGGCACUAUAUUGCAAACUUAAGAGUUAUAUUCAUAUAAGUGUAAUGCUGCAGUCUUUGAAUUUCAUUUCAGAAUCAUAAAGGGGCAUACCACAUGUUUGUUAUAAAGAGAGGGCAUUGGGUUUGAGAGGGUUGGAAACUAUUGUGUGGACAGGAUACUGUGAACCCAAAGCAUGAAGAUGAACUGGGGUCUGUCCAUGACAGACCUUGUAUUCCAGACUACAGAGCUUGGGCUAACAGCCCUCAGUGCUUUCUUGCCCUUAAUUUUGUCCUCUUUUGAUAAGGUGGUUUGCCUGCCAUUUUCCACUUGCUUACUUACCGCACGUCACGGCCUGUAAUACUUUCCACCUGUGUCUCACAGAGAGUAAGAGGGGGUGAGAGUAUCCAUCGGACACUUGCGAUGCCUUCAGAAGAAUGUCAAGUCCAGAAAUUUUUUUAGGAAUUUUUCUCCACGUCGGCAACCCUUCUUUUCAUCCAAGUUCUCCUCCUUCCUAGUGCUAGGGAAUGAAUACUUUAUGAAGCCAAGUCUUCUCCUUAGGUGGCUUUUCUCUUGUGAAUGGUGAGGUGAACCGUAUGCACCAUGACAGUGCUGGGUAGAGUUUGAGAUAGUUUAUCUAGGGCCAAGGUUCUCAGGUAAGUGUGAUUUUGCCCCUCCCCUCCCCCCCCCCCCCCCAACCUCGAAACAUUUGGCAAUGUCUGGAGACAUUCUUGGUUGUCAUACUUGGGUGCUAGUGGUCAGGGAUGCAACUAAAGGCCCUACUAUGCACACAGUCAUCCACUCUCAAGAAUUAUCUGGCCUAAAAUGUCCGUAGUGCUUGGGUUGAGAAACCCUGGUCUAGGGUUCCUUACCAUAGGUAAUGGCAUCUGGGUAGUCCUUGCAUUCAUACAGGUAGGGGACUGAGUCUUGUCUUAGAGUUUAAUGGGCCUUUUACAGUGUUACUUAGGGUUGUUUUGCCCAUGGAUGAAGUCCUGCUUUGGGAUAUGUAUACUGGACAAUAUACAGCAUAAUCUUCCAUAACACAGUAAAAUUGUAAGAAAUGUUUUCCUUUGCAACAUUUCUGCAGCACUCUCUUGAUUUGGAAACAGUAAGCCUGUCUCCAUUUUGUGUUUUGGGUUCAGAUGGAAUGUUUCUAGACCUUAGAGCUUUAUCUUUGAGCCUUGAAUCUUUUCCAGGCAUGCUUUCUUUCUGAAUGUCUGAUAGGAUUUGAGCAAUAAACCAAAAAAUCGACACUAAAAGCUCAUUUGUAGUAUUUGAAUCUGGUGUCUUAUUUGUAGGAUUGUCUAGGAGAAAGGGAUAAUUCAUUGGGACUGGUAGGACCUUUAAAAUUUUGUUGACAAUUUGAAUGGCCCUCAUAAGAUAAGUACUGUAUUUGGCAUUGUUCCAGCCUUAUUAGUAAAGUAAAACUUUAACGGCAAGUUUGAUAAUUUUUCCAGCUGUUGGUCUAAAGGAAGGAGGGGUUAUAAAUAGAAAAACCUCAGAUCCCAGUUUUUGGCUUGGCUUUGCUGUCUGGGUGUCAGGAACUUUUAGUAACGUUUGCCUUCUUAACUAGGCUGUGCCCAAUGUCCUGUUACAUAGUUUGCAUACAUUGGUGGCACAAUUGGCCGUCAUCGUGGGAUUAAGAAUUUUCUAUGGGAAUUGAUUUAUAGUGAAUCAGGAAACAUGCAGAACAGAAUUACUGGGAGAAAAACCAUGCUGUGGGGUAAGAGGAAAUACGAGGCAUCUGGGAAGAUAGAGUAGUACAGGCUGAGUCAUCGGUUGGAUAUAUCGAUUAUCUCCUGGGAGCCUCCAGUAGUGGGACUGAGGAGAUGAGAGGACUAUUUACAAACUGGGCAGAGUCGAGGAAGACCAGUAGGGGUUGGCGAAACACCUCGAGGCCAAGAGCUGUUAGCAUUGUUAGGCUUGAAGGGGCAAAGGUGCAGUAGUUUCUGGAACCUUGAGAGGUUAGCUGUAGGCGAGAGUGACCCAUAGGAUUUCUGCCACUGCCAGCCGGUAGCCCUACAGGAAGGGAAUCCAGGGGCGUAAAUACCUCAGACUCUGUCAAAAUUUUCCCACCCUCUGAUCUCAUGCUGGAGCCUUUCGCUGGCCAAACCCAACCGGAAAGGGAGCCUGGGUGAUUUACUUCAUGGAGGGCAGCCCGUUGAGGCACAUAGAGGUGGAAGGUUGGGCUGAGGGCGUGGAGGAACCAAGGGAGGAUAGCCAGUGUGCUAAAGUUGAGGUCAAGUUAGUUUUGAAAGGCACAAGUGAGAAGACAGCUUGUUAGCAGAGUCUGGUAAAAUGGAUAGGAGAUGGAAUGUUCUAGAGAAGGAACGUUCUCGCCGAUAACAGAAGGAUAGAUUCAGAGGCAAAGUGUCGCCACGGCUUUGGCAAGGCCAGAGCUGCUUUUUUCCAGAGGUAGCCUCAGAAUCUUAAUUGCCUCAAGGGCCUUUAGAAAUCCUGCAGUCCAGCUUCCCUUUGCUCUGUGGAAAUCCUUCCCCCAGUGCCCUGCCAGGGGUGGGUGUGGGAUGCUUUCUCAGGGAGCUCUUGCCAUUGUUGGACAGCUUGAAUUGUCAGAAAGGUUUUCAUUUGUCCAGAUCACUGAACACGUCCAUUCCGGUUAGGUUUGGCUGCUUAUGAGAGAAAAACUAAAGUCAUGGUGAUUUUUAAAAGGUAGAAAAAGACUUCUCUAAAGUAAGAGGAACCCAGAGUAGACAAUUCAUGGCUGACGUGGCCAUUCCUAGGUCUUUGAGGAGGUUCCCCCACACAUGGUGUGUCCCCUCCUCGUCCAGGAUAGCCGUGCUGAGCUUGAGCUGUCAGGUUCAUGUUUUCUCAGGUAGGAAGAGGAAGGGCAGGAAGAAGGGCUUGCCCUGCUUUUGGGUUGAAGGUGUUUUCACGUGGAACUUAGCGUACGUACACAAGACUGUAUAAAGCACAUCGCUACGUUUUAAUAAAACAGUCAUAACAUCUAUCCCCCAGGCUAAAAAAUAGAACAUUUGGGGCGCCUGGGUGGCUCAGUCGGUUAAGCGUCGGACUUCAGCCCAGGUCAUGAUCUCACGGUUAGUGAGUUUGAGCCCUUCACCGGGCUCUGUGCUGUCGGUGCAUAGCCCGCUUCCGAUCCUCUGUCCCCCUCUCUCUCUGACCCUCCCCCACUCAUGCUCACUCUCUUUCUCCCUCAAAAAUAAAUAAACAUUUACAAAACCCUUUAGGACAUUUACCUCCAAUCCCUGAUGACAUCUCCUUUCCUUCCCUCUAGGGAGAACUAUCCUGAUUUUGGGAAUAAUUAUUCUCUUGCUGUGUUAAAGGAAAAAAAAAAAAAGAAAAAAGUGUUACCCCCAUGUGUACGUUCCCUAAGUUCAGUUUUGUUUGCUUUUUCACUUGCUGUAAAUUGAUUUAUAUGUAUUUUUUGUGGUUUUCCCAUGUUGCUUGGUGUUUGUGAGACUCAUCCAUGUUGGUCCGUGCAGUUUAUUGGUUUUAGGUCCUUGAUUCCCACUGUUGCAUAAUAUUUCAUUGUAUGACUGUCACAGAUUAUCCGUUCCAUAAUGGGCCCUUGGGUGGCUUCCAGUUUGAGGCUUUUUUGAACAUUACCGUUAGGAACUUUCUUGUAUGUGACAGGGGGUCAGAAUUGCAAGUUUUUCUGGGAUUUAGCCCUCCUGGUGGAACUGCUGCAUUAUGACUUCCCUGGAUAAUGGCAGACUUUUCAGAAGAAGCUGCAACAGUUUAUACUUCUGGCAACAGUGUACGAGAGGUCUUGUUCCUACACAGCUUGGGAAACCUGCUAUUUCCAAGGCUGUUUUACUUUUUGCCAGUCCAGUAGGGGUGAAGUCUAAUUGAUUUCCAGGCGAAUUCCCCUAAUUACUAGUGAGGGUGAGUGUCCUUUUCGAGGUCCGUUAACUCUUUGGAGCUCCUGUUUUGUGCGGGCCUCUUCCAGCCUUAUGCUUUCUCAAUUAUUUGUUUCUCCUUGUAGUUCUAUUAGAUUUGGCUGUAUGUGUUUUGAGAUUUUUGUUACCAGGUGCAUACAGAUUUAAAAUUGUUAUAUCUUACCCAGGAGGUUGUGCUUUUUCUCUGACAGUGCUUUUUCGAGUUCAUACAACACAGCUGUGUGAGCUUUUUGUCAUGAAAUGGGCAGAUUGUAAGUGUUUGAAGGAAUGGCUUGCCUGUUGUAUAGGCAGAAACUGUGGAACAGUCUUCCUCCCCUCCAUUCUUAUGGCACAUUGUUAUUUAUAUGUCCUGUUAUCCCAUGAAGUGGAUAAAUCACCUUUAUUUUAUUUUAUUUUAUUUUAUUUUAUUUUAUUUUGUUUUGUUUUGUUUUGUUUUUUUAAUUUACAUCCAAAUAGCAUAUUGUGCAACAAUGAUUUCAGGAGUAGAUUCCUUAAUGCCCCUUACCCAUUUAGCCCAUCCCCCCCCAUACCCCCUCCAGUAACCCUCAGUUUGUUCUCCAUAUUUAAGAGUCUCUUCUGUUUUGUCCCCCCCUCUUUUUAUAUUAUUUUUGCUUUCCUUCCCUUAUGUUCAUCUGUUGUAUCUCGUAAAGUCCUCCUAUGAGUGAAGUCCUAUGAUACUUGUCUUUCUCUGACUAAUUUCACUUAGCAUAAUACCCUCCAGUUCCAUCCACGUAGUUGCAGAUGGCAAGAUUUCAUUCUUUUUGAUUGCCGAGUAAUACUCCAUUGUAUAUAUGUACACCAUAUCUUCUUUAUCCAUUCAUCCAUCGAUGGACAUUUGGGCUCUUUCCAUACUUUGGCUGUUGUUGAUAGUGCUGCUGUAAACAUGGGGAUGCAUGUGUCCCUUCGAAACAGCAUACCUGUGUCCCUUGGAUAAAUGCCUAGUAGUGCAAUUGCUGGGUCAUAGGGUAGUUCUAUUUUUAGUUUUUUGAGGAACCUCCGUACUGUUUUCCAGAGUACACCAGCUUGCUUUCCCAUAAAUCACUUUUGAAUUUAAAAAUGAAGUAGAGGGGUGCCUGAGUGGCUCAGUCAGUUAAGCGUCCAACUUUGGCUCAGGUCAUGAUCUCACAGUUCGUGGGUUCAAGUCCCCCCAUCAGGCUCUGUGCUGACAGCUCAGAGCCUGGAGCCUGCUUCGGAUUCUGUGUCUCCUGUCUCUGCCCCUCCUCGGCUCAUGCGAUGUCUCUCUCUCUCAAAAAUAAAGAAACAUUAAAAAAAAUAAUUACAAAAGAAGUAGAGUUUUCGGGUGCCUGGGUGGCUCAGUUGGUUAAGCGCGCGACUCUUGAUCUCGCCUCAGGUCGUGAUCUCUCGGUUCUUGAGUUCAAGCUCCGUGUUGGGCUAUGCACUGACAGCACGGAGCCUGCUUAGAAUUUUCUUUCUCCCUCUGUCUCUGCUCCUCCCCCAUUCGUGCACUCUCUCUUUCCCUGUCUCAAAAUAAGUCAACUUAAAAAAACAUAAAAAAAAGAGGUUCUUUUUUUUUGAGGUAUAUCUCACAGUAAAGGGCACAAAUCUUAAUGGUACAGGUCAGUUACAUUUGCAUAUGAGUAUGCUGUACUCGCUGCCCAGGUACAAAGAAUGGCCAGCAUCCCAACAAGUUCCCUCGCAUUUGGUACCCACCAAAGGUUAUCUUUCUUCUCACUGUAGGUUAGUUUUGCUGAUUUUUGAACUUUGCAUAAAUGGAAACAUACAGUUCACGUUAUUUUCUGAGUAUCCUUUUUGCUGAAUCUGUGAGAUUCAGCCAUGCCCUUAUAUAGCAGUAUUUUUUUUUUUUUUAAUUUUUUAACGUUUAUUUUUUGAGAUGCCGAGACAGAGCAUGAGCAGGGGAGGGGCAGAGAGAGAGAGGGAGUCACAGAAUCCGAAGCAGAUUCCAGGCUCUGAGCUGUCAGCAGAGUCCGACGCGGGGCUUGGACUCACGAGCCAUGAGAUCAUGAUCUGAGCUGAAGUUGGACGCUUAACCGACUGAGCCACCCAGGCGCCCCUGGGUAGCAGUAGUUUUAAAACUCAUGGCUGUGUAGUUGCACGAUGUAUAAAAUCCCACCAUUUAUUCAUUCUACAGUUGACGAACAUUUCUGUUUCUGGUGUUGGCUGUUUUGAAUGACACUUCUACAUUCUUGAUUGAACAUGUCUUUUGGUAAGCACAGAAUUGCCAGGUCAUGAGGCGUACUGCCAGACAGGUUUCCCGAGUGGUUGUCCGAUUUACACUCCCACGAGGUUUUCUUAAUAUGUAACUUUUGCAUUUCGCUUUCCAGCAACAAAUCUUAAAUUUCUGUUACCUGCAUGCUCCAUGUGGGAGACAGCAUGGAAAACUCUUUCCUGAAGCAGGUUAGGCACUUUUAAAGUGUGAAACACCCCUCCGUUUCUGUAAUUUCCCCGGAAAGGAAAAGCCUACUGCAUUCUUAUUCACCUCGUCCAUCACUAUUAAUAAACAUUUGACGUAAAGAGAGCAGAGUUUUCUGUUAAGGGCAGACGUUUAGAUUUGCAAAACCCCAUUGGUAGCAGAUAAUUUGAAGGUAAAAUCAUAGUGCUCUGGAACUCCUUGGAGUCUAAGUAGCUGUUACAGUAGGUUUACACUUUGUGCUCCAUAUUGGGGAGACCUUUUUUUCUGGAGGCUUUUUCUGAAGGCAUUUAAGUGUACUCCUUUGAAAUGCAUUUUGGCUGACGGAUCUAAAAAGGGAUACAUCAGUUCUGUCUUGAGUUCCAGUCUUACUGGUGCUGGGACAGGUGAGGCAAAUAGAAGAUUCUGUUUGCAAACUCUAACAGGAAGGACCAGAGGACAAAAACAAGAAUGCCAUGGGAGACCUGCUCCUUGGCUAGCUGCAUUGCAGCCAGGGCAGACGAAGGCCUAAGGUUAUAUUGCCCAGCCCUUUUUGAUAAGCUUGUGAUUUCAGAUGCUUUCCCAAGACUCGUAACUAUAGCAGUCAACAGCAAUCUGUCCAGAUGCCUGAAAUCAGCCUUAUGAUCUGUAAACAUAAGUGGGUAACCAGUUUAGUCUUGUUUUGUAAGUAAGAGGACACUUGUAAUCUUCUGAUCGAAUUAAAUAGUGGAAGGCCGAGAGUUGAUGUAACAUGUGUCUUAUUAAAUGGAGGAGCAGCUCACUGGUCGCCGGCGUCUUCCUACCAUCCUCUGUAAGAAAACACAAUGUAGGGGUGCCUGGGCGGCUCAAUUGGUUAAGUGUCCUGCUUCCGCUUGGGUCAUGGUCUCACUGUCUGUGAGUUCGGGGCCCUGCGUCCGGCUCUGGGCUGACAGCUCAGAGCCUGGAGCCUGUUUCAGAUUCUGUGUCUCCCUGUGUCUCUGCCCCUUCCCCACUCACACUCUGUCUCUGAAAAAUGAAUAAACCUUAAAAAAAAUUAAAAAAAAAAAAAAGAAAACACGAUGUAGGCAUGGGAAUCAAACCACUUACAGCCUCUCCCAGCUCUAUCUGUGGGACUUUGCUUGAGACAUUGCAAAGGUUACUUGUCCUUGCUGCUUACUGAAAAGGAAAGGGGAAUGUUUCCUCACAGAGAUUCCGAUUCCUCAAAUACUUAGUGUUUAUUAUUUGCGGUUGCUUUCUUAUUACCUUACUGCACUGAAUACUCACAGCAGCCCUGAGAGUAGAUAGAUGGGGGUAUCUUUUUGUCCGGUGAACUUUUUGUUGAAUUAUAGCAAUGGCAUCUGUUUUUGCAGAUGAGCAAAAUCCUGCUGCAUCGAGACUUAGUAAUGUGCCAGAGGCCACACAGAGCUAAAAUUAGAGUAGAAGCUUUCGAUUACCAUUCCAGACUUUCCAGUGCACCACGGCUGCCUAUAGAACACUAGUAACAGGCCACUCAGUGAUCCCACAGAAGUCGUGACGAGUGUCAGUUCAGCACGGCACUCAGAGGUGGCUGUCCCUUUCACAUACCCCGGGUAGUGGCUGGAGUGUGUGUUUAUGAGCUGCCAAAGGAGAAAGUGUUUUUUAAAAACCUCAUCUAAAAAUGUAGCAGUUAAUAAUUCUGUUUAUAAACUCUUAAAAAUACAUACCGUAAGACCAUAGUGAUCCUCUUUGUCUAGUUUGUAUAUAAUUUCUAAGUUAGUUUUAGACAUCUAGGGUUGAUUUCAUUUGGAGUCCAAAGCUUUAUUCUGUGUUUCUGGAAUUGCAGAGUUUCUGCUGGUUUUUGGCCCAUAUGGCAACUUGUUUUCAGAAAGGCUUUUGGGUUUUUGGGGGGUUUUUUGUGGUUUUUUUUGUUUUUGUUUUUUUUGUUUUUUGUUUUUAAAGAAAGCCUGUGGAUCUUAGGUGGUUGGUCUUAGCUACGUUUGGUAGACAGAGAUGCAAUUGCUGGGUCAUAAUGCCCCCCCCCCUUUUUUUUUUUAAAGUGUGCAGUUCAUCAGUUUUUUAUCGUGUUCUCAUAGCUGUGCAGCCAUCCCCACAACCUCAGAACAUUUUCAGAAGAAAUCCCCCAGGUGUGGUACUUACUCCCUUAUGUGGCUGCAGUCCCCGGGCCUGGAAGCCGCCACCCUGCUUGUUGUCUGCACAUAUCCUUAUUCCGAGUGCUGCAUACACACAGAAUUCUACAAUGUCUGGUCUUUCGUGAUCAGCUGUUUUCCUUAGCAUGCUGUUUUGAGGGGUCAUCCUGUUGUAACAUGGAUCAGAAUGUCGUUCCUUUUUAUUAUAGUGCUGAGGCUUUUCCUGGAGAAUUUGAAGUAAUGGAUGCUAGUUCUCCUGCAGGGAACACAGGAGUCUUGGGUUUACUUUACAUAUAAUAGAAUACUUCUAUGAUUCGUUUUAGAGAGGGGGUCAUUAACCUGGGGAAGAUGGACCCCAGUGAUGGCUUUUAGGAUGUCCUGAGCCCUUUGUAAUUAUCUUCGGGUUUCAUGUUCCCAAGCAUUUUUUUCUGUGGGGAAGUUUGGGGACUGAGAGUUUUUAGCUUUUGUUGAAAGAUAAUUUUCAAAGGGUGCCUGGGUGAUUCAGUUGGCUAAGCCUUUGACUCUUGAUCUCAGCCUAGGUCCUUUUUCUGUUGUUGUUAAAUUUUUUUUUUUUUUAAUGUUUUAUUUAAUUUUGAGAGAGAGAGAGAGAGAGAGAGAGAGAAAGUGUGUGUGAGCUGGGGAGGGGCAGACAGCGAGGGAGACUCAGAAUGUGAAGCAGGCUCCAGGCUCCGAGCUGUCAGCACAGCACCCGAUGCAGGGCUCGAACUCACAAGUUGUGAGAUCAUGACCUGACCUGAAGUCAGGUGCUUAACCGACUGAGCCACCCAGGCGCCCCUCAGCUCAGGUCUUGAUCUCAGGACCAUGAGUUCAAGCCCCAUGUUGGGCCCUAUGCUAAGCAGGGAGCCUACUUAAAAAAAAAAUUCACAAAAGGUAAAA